RNAcentral lists this long non-coding RNA (309 nucleotides) under Monodelphis domestica (gray short-tailed opossum). Its description in RNAcentral is "lncRNA (ENSMODG00000051103.1)". The record is from RNAcentral. Lineage: Eukaryota; Metazoa; Chordata; Mammalia; Didelphimorphia; Didelphidae.
UGACUAAUAGGUGAUGCUUCAAAGGUCUAUACUCAACAUCCUUCAUUAGAAUGGCUUUGUGAUUCAGGGAGAAAAAUAGGAAGGAAUUGGGAAGUGAUGAGAAAAAUAGAUAACAUCUUUUUUAUCUAAGAGGUAACUGCAUCUGAAUAAGUUAUUUAAUUCAAUAUAUUUUAUUCCCAUUUCACUUUAUAGUACUCUGAGGCACCUAAAAAUUCACAUAAUGACUCCUCCAGGCAAGGUUACUCCAAGGUCAAUGUAAUUUUGAGACAGUAGCCACUUAAAGCUUUAGUUCAUGUGGCCCCUAUUGAU